This is an RNA transcript of Xiphophorus maculatus (southern platyfish), 2606 nucleotides long. It is a transcript of the gene named zinc finger DHHC-type containing 2, with no coding region annotated. The record is from RefSeq and is a predicted model, not a curated record. Lineage: Eukaryota; Metazoa; Chordata; Actinopteri; Cyprinodontiformes; Poeciliidae. The transcript is spliced from 12 exons.
AGAGAGAGAGAGAGAGGAAGGGGGGGCGGUGCGGCAGAGAGGCAUCAGAGGAGCCCGGCGGGGAUGUUGCGACUGAGCUCCCGGUGAGGCUGAUGAUCGCACUCGGAGCCACACGAUGCAGUGACGGCUCCUACGAGAAGAAGCAGGAGACACGCGCCGCGGGAGAAGAGGAGCAGCACUCGAAUGCGCACGGUACGAUGAUCGGCUCGUCGUAGACCAUGGCGCCGUCGGGUCCACGGAGCAUCAAGCGGGGCUGUCAGAGAGUCCUCUACUGGAUCCCGGUCCUGUUCAUCGCCCUCAUAGUGGCGUGGUCCUACUACGCCUAUGUCUUGCAGCUUUGCAUAGAAUCCAUCGAGGACACAGGAGAAAAGGUCGUCUACCUGCUGGCCUACCACGCCAUCUUCAUCAUGUUCGUGUGGGCGUACUGGCAGACCAUCUUCACCAAACCCAUGAACCCCCUGAAGGAGUUCCAGUUGUCCCACUCUGACAAGGAGCUGCUGGAGCGCGAAGAUCGCGGAGAGUCCCAGCAGGAGAUCCUGAGGAGAAUAGCCAAGGAUCUUCCCAUCUACACGCGCACCAACUCCGGAGCGAUCCGUUUCUGUGACCGCUGCCAGCUGCUGAAGCCUGAUCGAUGCCACCAUUGUUCAGUCUGCGAUAAAUGCAUCCUGAAGAUGGAUCACCACUGCCCCUGGGUAAACAACUGCGUUGGAUUCUCCAACUACAAGUUCUUCAUGCUGUUCCUGGCCUACUCUCUACUUUACUGCCUUUUCAUUACCGCCACAGAUCUCCGGUACUUCAUCAAGUUCUGGACAAAGGGCCUCCCGGACACCCAGGCGAAGUUCCACAUCCUGUUCCUCUUCUUCUCGGCCUCCAUGUUUUCUGUCAGCCUGGCUUCCCUCUUCAUUUAUCACUGCUGGCUCGUCUGCAAGAACAGAUCCACGUUGGAGGCAGUGCGUGCUCCCGUGUUUCGUCACGGCACGGACAAGAACGGCUUCAGCCUCGGUUUCACCAAGAACUUCCUCCAGGUGUUUGGGGAUGAGGCCAAAUACUGGCCUGUUCCCGUUUCCUCCAGUUCAGGUGACGGAUGCUCAUUCCCGACCUGCCUGGUGAAUCUGGACCCUGAACAGUUGUCGUCGCCCUCUGGAUCCAGCUCAGCCAGCAAGAGUGCAGCAGAGGGCCGCCAGUUCCCGUCCAAACCGCUCCGAGAGAGCCAGAGUCGACUGCUCAUCAGCACCUCCUCCUGGUCAGAGAGUGAAGGUGCAGCAGACAAGGACAAGAAGGGCAAGGCCACGGGCACUGAUUUUUUCGAAAGUAUUCUUUGCACCCCUUUAACACUUCCACAUUUUGUGACGUUGCAGCUCAAGAUUUCAAUAAAUUGUGAUUUUUAUAAACCAACACAAAAAUGAUACAGCUUAGCUGCUCAUCUGAUUUAAAAAAAAAAAAUUUUUGAAGUGAAAAAAUGUAGAAAAGUUCAAGGGGGAUGAAUACUUCUGCAACUUUUUCUACUUGUUUUACCUCACUGGAGUGUUUUAUGUGUGUUCAUGUGUGUGUGUGUUCAGGUGCCAGUAACCCGGUGAUGACCAUUGAGAACGAGGCGUAACAAUCAUCACAUUUGACCAGAAAUGUCAAUGCUGCCCUCCUCCGUGUUUGUGCCUAUCAGAACUUGGUGAGAGUGGCGGCGACGUCCUCUGACGUCUGCCGUCACGCAACGCGACUCGACCGACGAACAGUCCGGGAUUUACCGCUGCCGUCAGAAAGUCCAGUGGAGUGGAAAAAAAAUGUAUUAAUUGAAAAAAAAAAAAUGGAGAUUGCAUUCCAGUCAUCUGCUCUUUGGAUGUAAAUAAGCACAGAGAUGCAGUCGAGAGAGGGCUGCAUUUUGUUUUCCAACUCAGCUUUUUUUCUUUUCUGUUGCGUUCAAGAACCACCUGCUGCUGGUUUUUACCUGAUUCUUUGGCACAUCAAGAAAAAAAAAAAAAAGAAAAAAAAAUGCUGAGCGAUAUCGACGCGCUCUCUCUCUGACAUUCCUUUCUCUUGUGAAAUGUUUGUUCUGUUCGUUUCCACACGCAUCAUGGUGAGUAUUGUAAACGUGAAAGAGUCGCAUGCUCUCAUCUCAGGAUGUCGACGCAAACGCAAUGCUGGUAACGACAUAAAAAAGAAGAAGAAGAAGAAGAAAUUGUAGUAAUUAGUAAAAAAAAAUUUCUGUUGUUAUUAAAAAAGGGCUCUUUUGACUCUGAGUGGCCUGAGUGAGGAUGUCACUGAAACAUCCGCUGGAGCUCACGUCCAACUGCUGCCCACACGCUUCCCGACUGUUUCCCCUCCUGGACUCGGAGUUUCUGCAACCGGCGACAACCGGCCGCCGUCGACAAGCAGAGACUGUUCAGCGUUUGGCUGAAUUAUUGAAAAACAAAACAAAACAAAAAAAACACGUCUUGUACGGUCACUUUAGGCUGGAAAUGACUACGUUAUUAAACUGUAACUCAAUAGUGCUUUCAAGAAUGUACACUUUGAAAAGCUUCGUUGUGACUUCUAUUUUUCUAUCUUUCUGUCUGUGAGGCGACGCAACAGUUGAGAUGCCUUAUGGGAAUAAAAUGAGCUCAUCCUCUGUG